GCGAUGUUUAGCGAUUCAAUAUACCCACAGAAAAAUACUCUUGCUAACCCAUUUGUUGUUGCCUUCAACAACUGAAUUCAAAAACACAAUUCUUUUAAACCAAAACCCAGAAAAAUAGAAAGAUCCAAGCCAAAAAUCUCUGAUUUUCGAGCACAAAAUCAAACCAAAACCCCCAGCAAAAUCGAACACGAAAACCCCCAUACAAAUCGAGCAAAAAACCCCCCAAUUCGAGCAGAAGUUCGGUGUAUAAACCCCCAGCAAAUUCGAAUGUAAACCCCAGAAUAAUCGAAAAAUUUCCAGCCAAAAACCCCCCAAGUCGAGCAAAAAUUCCAACCUAAACCCCCAACAAUUUCGAACCCUAAAAACCCCAGAAAAAUCGAACAUUUUGAGCAAAAAACCCCCCAGUUAGAGAAGAAAUUCAAACCUAAAACCCCAACAAAUUCGAACCCAAAAAACCCAGAAAAAUCAAACAUUUUUUGGCCAAAAACCGCCCAAUUUGAGCAAAUAUUCAUACCUUAACCCCAGCAAAUUCGUACCCUAAAAACCCUAGAAAAAUUAAACAUUUUGGAGCCAAAAACCCCCCAAUUAUUCGAGCAGAAAUUCGAACCUCAACCCAAAGCAGUAAAAUACCCCAAUUCGAGCUCAAAAUCAGUGCUAAACACCCUAGAAAAUUCAAGCAAAACCCCCUAAAAACUUAUUAUAUUUUACCCCAUAAAACCUAGAAAUUUCGACCUAAUUAGAGGAAAAGUUCCGUGAAGUUCGACCCAUUGUAGCAGUCAAUUUGUGAAGUCAAUUUCAGCUAAGUUCGACCCAUUGGUUCUUGUUGUUAUGUUAAAUAUUUUCACGGUAGAUAAAUUUCAGCAUUUAACUUGAACAAGUACUUAGUUUAAUUGCAAAAAUAGUGUUAGUUCAUUAGAAAAUAAUUUUUAGCUUGUUUGGCUUUUGUUGGUUUAAUUAAUAUAUGUAAAUUUAUGUCAGAUUUCUCAACUAUGUGGAAGUGAAUUCCUUAAGUUCCACGAGUACAAUUGAGGCGGUAGUACACAUACGACAUUGUCUUCGCUUGUGGCCCUUGUAAGUUGCAACUAUGUUUCCAUUCAUGAAUCCUGAUUGUAUCCUCGGAUUUGAGGGAGGAUGAUAUGCUUAAGAAGCUUGGAGACCUUGUGAAUGAGAGUCAUUAUAGCUGUAGUGUUCUCUAUGAAUGCAGGAUUUUUCAAGAUCUACACCGUAUAAAGAGGAGGAGAUAAACGAGGUUUAAGAUAUUUGGGCAGACUAUUUUAUAUGCUAUGUUAAACUUUAGAUCUACACUUAGCAAACUCCAUUUACUUAUUAGACUCUUGUUUUAUUUGUUAGGCUUGACAUGAAUGUAUUUGGUUUACCAACAAUUUGGGUUGGUAUUGGUGAUUGUGUUGGAUGAUGACCAUCAUGUCAAUGAUAUUGAGUUGUAAAUUUAUUGGACAGGUUUAUAAUAUGCCGCCGUCAUUCCCAAUUUUAUGGGUAGGCCAAAAUACAAAGGAGACUCUACCGAAAUUUACAUUUGCAUUCAA
Molecule: long non-coding RNA, 1544 nt
Organism: Chenopodium quinoa (quinoa)
Lineage: Eukaryota; Viridiplantae; Streptophyta; Magnoliopsida; Caryophyllales; Amaranthaceae
Exons: 4
Source: RefSeq, a predicted model, not a curated record